UUACUUAGAUAUCAAUAUUUAUUCUACCUGUAAAUUUAGUCUCAGCCAAUUAACUGAAUCAUUGGCAAUUUUUUUUCUUUUUUUUUUGCAGAAAGUAAGAGCAGUCCUAAAAUCACAAAGUCAACUCAAACACAAGACUCAUCAUUUUGGGGGAUAAUAAGGAAAAGACUCAAAAGGGAAAAUGACUUGUCCCUAGAAGGGUCUUUGGUCAUCUUCUGCUCACCAGGACUCAGAGGCUCCAGGUAUAUGAAGCCACAGACCCAUCAUCCACGGAG
RNAcentral lists this long non-coding RNA (275 nucleotides) under Rhinolophus ferrumequinum (greater horseshoe bat). RNAcentral describes it as "lncRNA (ENSRFEG00010020686.1)". The record is from RNAcentral. Lineage: Eukaryota; Metazoa; Chordata; Mammalia; Chiroptera; Rhinolophidae.